Molecule: small nucleolar RNA, 133 nt
Filed under: Sinocyclocheilus anshuiensis
Lineage: Eukaryota; Metazoa; Chordata; Actinopteri; Cypriniformes; Cyprinidae
Description: Small nucleolar RNA SNORA1 (ENSSANG00000020483.1)
Source: RNAcentral
UGCCAAGCAGAUCAUCAAAAGUGUUAUUUCUGAAAUAGGGCAAAUUCCUCUAUCGGCUUGGCUAGAACAACAGCAGGUUUGCUUUCAUCAUUGUAGACUCGUUGCAGUGAUGACAAUGAGGCCUGGUAUAUUC